UACGAGGGGGGCUAGCGUUGUUCGGAAUUACUGGGCGUAAAGCGCGCGCAGGCGGCGUGUCAAGUCAGAGGUGAAAUCCCGGAGCUUAACUUCGGAAUUGCCUUUGAAACUGGCAUGCUAGAGUCUGGGAGGGGAUAGCGGAAUUCCUAAUGUAGAGGUGAAAUUCGUAGAUAUUAGGAGGAACACCGGUGGCGAAGGCGGCUAUCUGGACCAGAACUGACGCUGAGGCGCGAAAGCGUGGGGAUCAAACAGG
Molecule: ribosomal RNA, 253 nt
Filed under: uncultured bacterium
Lineage: Bacteria
Description: partial 16S ribosomal RNA
Rfam family: Bacterial small subunit ribosomal RNA
Source: RNAcentral